CUCCAGAGUCAUCUGGGUCCAGUGACCAAAUAUAGAUCAAGACAACUGGAGAUGGCCCUGGAUGAAAUGGAAGAUCUUGGUCUUUUAAGCUAAUGUCUUCAACAGGUCACAAUUUUAUUGAGGCCGCACCCAUUCAGUGAUAAGACUAUCUUUCAUCUAGUCCAAAAAAAUCUAAAUAAAUAAAUGAAUGACUGAAUGAAUCUGGGAAGGGAAGACCCUCAGAGUUUCUGGCCAAAGCAGAAAUGACUGCUGUUUACAUUCAAUUUGAAUUCCUACUAAAUUUUGGAAUAUCUCUUUCAUUAUUCCCUGGUUAAAUACUUCCUUCUAACAAGAUUAGAGUGCCCUUGCUUCUAUUGUUAUUGAUUUCAAAAACAAAUUAUCAAGCUAUUCAAUUUUUUGAAAAUGGAAGAGGAAGAAAAAAAGAGGAAGGGGAGAGAAAGUGAUGAAAAGGAAGAUGGGAAAAGAGGAGGAAAAGAAGAAAGAAGGAAGAAAAUAGUGUACAAGUGAUGGAUAAGACCCACAAGUAUAAAACUAGGAUACACUCUCAUAAUCAGAAGCUGGCAAUGUAAACAUAAAAAUGGAGAUUGCUAAAGUCUGUAUCAUUCUGAUUUUUCUCUCAACUGUUUUGAACCAUCUGUCACACACCAUUUUGUAGUUGACAAUUUAACCAUAAUUCCUGGCAGUGGAAAUAUCAUACUCAAGUCAGGCAUGCCAUAUCUUGAGGAACUUUUUCUAGUUCUAAGGAUAGGAAAUGAACUUUUUUCUGGUUCUCAAGAAUCAUGUCUGCAAAGUCUGAAGAUAGAAAAUGCAAAGGACUUUCAAAAUCCAAACACAGAAUCACCAAAUCUUAACAUUGAAAGAGACUUUAGCAAUCAUCUAGAUCAAACUUUCACCCAGUUCUCUGCAGUUUGAAGAAAAUGCUACUUCACUGGCUACCUCCCAUUUGGGAGUAAAACAAAACCUCUUCUAUUUUUCUAUAAUAAUCCUCAAUUUGAAAUUGAUUAUAAUAGAAAAAAAUAAUGAUUUCUGAAUUACCAAGAGUAUAGGGUUCACUGUGAUCUGCCAUUAUCAAAGUCUGUAGCCAUUAUUGAUUCUUGGAAGGAAUCUCAUUGCUAACCCUGGAUGUCAGGACAUUUCAGUCCUGAAUGAAUAAACCUUCAUAUUAACAUUAGUGAGUCAACAACCUGGACUUAUCCACAAAUUAUCCUGACCUUCCACAAAAUUAGGAAAUGACCAAAUACUUCAAGGAACAUAUUAUAUUCAUUGGUAGUUUGUAAAUUCUGGCCAGGUUAAGGAUAUUCAUUGGAUUUCAUUGGAUGUCAUAAUUUCUGGACUCUUAGAGACAUAUUUGCUUUUUGUCUUUUGUCUCUUAAUCUGGUAGAAAUUCAAGUACAUAUAGAAAACUACAAGGAUAGAAGGAAUAUGACAGAUAUAAGAAUUAAUCCAAAUCUCAAGGACAAAGAUUAGAGCAGCUAGCUUUUACGGUCCUCCAUUUGCUGCUUUCCCCAUCCCUCUUCUAACUGAAUAUUAUCUCCUUUAAUAUAAGGCAGAGAUGUUGAAAGGAGAGAGGAAGAGCUGGGAAAUUAAUGUUGUAUAAUAGAUCUAAGACAUCCUCUCCCUUAACUAGUUUAGUGCCUCAAUGAUGACAAUAUUACUACAUUAGAUUGCUGUCAUGCUUUGUACAACAAUUCGUAUUAUUUCAGUUGAUCUUCAUGAUAAUUCUAUCAGCUUGGUGUUAUUAUUUACAUAUGAGAUAUGCAAAAAACAAAUUAAAGAGAAGUUAAUUAAUUUGCCCAAUUUGCCCAAGAUCUAGUUAGUAGAGUCAUAACAAGACUCUAAAUGUAAGGAGCAGCUAGGUGGCACAGUGGAUAGAGCACCAGUCCUGAAGUCAGGAAGACCCUAGUUCAAAUCUGAUCUCAAGAUACUUAACACUUCCUGGCUGGGUGGCCCUAGGCAAGUCACUUAACCCUAAUAGCCUCUGGGGAAAAAUAAUCUGGAUAUAAGUAUAUAUAUAUAUUUGUAUGUAUGUAUAUAAGUAGUGGAUUUUUAUAUAAGCAGUGGAUUGGAGCCAAGGGGAAAUGUACUAUUUUCUGGACUGAACUCUAACACUGCACUGGACAACUUCUAAAAUCCCUAACAUUCCAUAAUUCUGUGAUUUGAUAUAUAAUGUUAUCAUUUGAAAUGUUGAUCAUGAAUGAAAAUAGACAUAUUUGAUAUAAAACACAUGCUUAUAAUCAUUACAGCAGGACUAAAAGUCAAUCGGGCAUCUGCACUGUCUGUAACCACUGUGGUGAGCCCUCCAUGAGUAAAGGAUCACCAGGCUGCCUAAAGAGGGAUGAAAGGACCCAGGUUUGAAAUCGAAUGGGAUAGAGUUUCUACAGAAAGAAAGAGAGAAACAAAAAAAGAAAGAAACUACAUUUAUUAUGAAGAAUAUGAUCAUUACAUGUAUAACUGCUGCUAAUGCCUGAUGCCCAUAUUGACUUGCAAUAUUUAGCAUUUAAAUAUAAUAAAUCUCUUUCCCCCUUAAGGUAGAAAAUCUGCCCAAUCUUUAACAGACUUUUAAAAAGAAGGAAGAUCCUCAGAUCACAUUUGAAACAAAAAUGUACAUUGUCAUUUCUCUUACUAGAUGGAGCUAACCUCAGAAUUAUGAGUAAAGAGAUUUACAAAGCAUUGGACUGGUCUGAUAUUGAACAUGGUUGAACUGUAUAAAAAAGAAAGAAAAUUAGCCCUAAACUAAUUUGAUUUUUGAGGGAAAAGAACUGAAUUAUUGGUUUUUGGCUCCCUGUAGUCACUUGCCUCUUCUUUCUGAUUGGUUUCCACUUGGGAAUCGUCAUCAAUGGACAAAUGAAUGAUGAACUUAAUAUACUGGUGUCAGUAUUGGGAGAGAAAUCCACCCCAGAUGUUCAUAAGGACUCUUUGUGCCCAACCUAUGGCAGAACAUUCUGAGCUCAUAUUGAUCUGAUCAGCCUUAGGUAGGCACAUUGUCUGACUGUGACAUGACAUGACAAUGAUGUCAUUUGUUCCUCUUGGAGAAUUCAGGACAUCAACCAAUCUCUAUUCCUCCCCUCAGGCCUUUCCUAGGUCAUCAUACUUGCACUGACUAUGUUCUUCUGUUUUUCCCAUCUUGAUUCCUUGGUAAUCCAGUUUAAUUCUGUACUCUAUUAUACAAUUUAGAUUUUUACCUCAUUGUUCUAUUAUUAUUCAUACCCUGCCAAGCCCCAAUCUUAAAUUACUCCAACCAUUUACUACCUUUGCUCUUAUUCUCAUGUCCAUAAAUGGAGAGGGGGAACAUCAUAAAACUCUAUUGAUUGGGUACAACCCUAUUGAUUGGGUACACUAUAAAUUUGGGUACAAUAUGAAUAUAAUAGCAACCAAGACCUCACAGAAGCAAAACAAUCAUUUUACAUCUCCCUAAUUGAUUUACUAUUCCACUCAACACACCAGGUUCUCCAAACUUUCUCAUUCAUCCUUAGACCUGCCAUUGUCCCCUUUUUACCAACCCUCUCAGCUGAGAAUCUUGCCUUGAUUUUUCCUAAAAAAAAAAAAAAAAAAGUAAGGUCAUUAACUGAGAGUUCCCUUUUCUCUCCUUCUCAUCUCACUUCACUCAAAACCUUCUGCAACCAUUUCUUCUUUCCUCUGUCUCAUGUGAAGAGAUGGUCCUUCUUCUUACCAAAACUAAUAUCCCAAUAGGCACAAGUGAUCCCUUUCCUCCUUAUCAUCUUCUCCCUUUAUUAUUUCUAGUCUUUCAUCUAUCUUCAGUUUCCUCCUAUCAACUAUUUCCUUGCUACUUCUCAUCCCCAAAAGCUAUCAUCUUAAUAUCUCUCAUCUAUUUCACAGCUAAGGUCCUUGGAAAACUUCCUUUUAUUUACUCUUUUUUAACUCUCAUCAAUCUAGCUUCCCACUUCAUUAUUCAAUUGAACUCUUCCCUCCAAAGUUAUCAGUGAUCUCUUAACUGCCAAACCUAAUGAUCCUUUCUCAGUCUUCAUUCUUCUUGACUUCCCUUGCAGGGUUGGACACUGUCAAUGACCCUUCUUCUCAGAAAUAUUUUCUCCUCUCUAGAUUUUCAUGGAAGUACUAACUUCUGGUUCUUUUUACUUCAUUCAGGUUACUCGGAUUUGUGAGGAUCAAGUUAACAUCCUGGAUACUUUAGAAUCAGCCAGAGUCAGAAUAAGCAAAAGUCCUUGGUCUUUAUUCUUGGUCAAAAUGAGAGGAAUGGACAUAGGAAUCUCCACACCGCUCUUCUUCAUCUCCUGGCCAGAAGUCACUCUGGUUUGUCUUACUCCAUCCUCUAAUCCCCAAAUCUCUGUAUAUACCAACAGAUUGAGCCAGCAUAGAAUAGUGGGGUGGGCCAUUUUCCAAGCAUAUACUAAUAGAGUAUUGUCCAAUCAGUAGUUAGCCUUAAGUGCUUGGUUGUCUGACCUCAGUGCAUGAACUCAAGAGUUUCAUCCUUUUACACUGAUUAAUCAUGAAUGUCUCCU
Molecule: long non-coding RNA, 4478 nt
Organism: Sarcophilus harrisii (Tasmanian devil)
Lineage: Eukaryota; Metazoa; Chordata; Mammalia; Dasyuromorphia; Dasyuridae
Exons: 2
Source: RefSeq, a predicted model, not a curated record